UCGAGAAUUUUUCACAAUGGGGGAAACCCUGAUGGAGCGACGCCGCGUGGAGGAUGAAGGCCUUCGGGUCGUAAACUCCUGUCAUGCGGGAACAAGAAAGUGAUAGUACCGCAAGAGGAAGAGACGGCUAACUCUGUGCCAGCAGCCGCGGUAAUACAGAGGUCUCAAGCGUUGUUCGGAUUCAUUGGGCGUAAAGGGUGCGUAGGUGGUGACGUAAGUCUAAUGUGAAAUCUCGGGGCUUAACCCCGAAAUUGCAUCGGAUACUGCGUGACUAGAGGACUGUAGAGGAGAUUGGAAUUCACGGUGUAGCAGUGAAAUGCGUAGAUAUCGUGAGGAAGACCAGUUGCGAAGGCGAAUCUCUGGGCAGUUCCUGACACUGAGGCACGAAGGCCAGGGGAGCAAACG
This 405-nucleotide ribosomal RNA is filed under the name uncultured Terrimicrobium sp. RNAcentral describes it as "bacterial SSU rRNA". It matches the Rfam family "Bacterial small subunit ribosomal RNA", at positions 355 to 774 of the family's 1533-position model. The record is from RNAcentral. Lineage: Bacteria; Pseudomonadati; Verrucomicrobiota; Terrimicrobiia; Terrimicrobiales; Terrimicrobiaceae.